This 30-nucleotide transfer RNA is filed under the name Heteronotia binoei (common prickly gecko). Its description in RNAcentral is "partial tRNA-Ile". Lineage: Eukaryota; Metazoa; Chordata; Lepidosauria; Squamata; Gekkonidae. The record is from RNAcentral.
CACAACAGAGGUUAAAGUCCUCUCACUUCC